GUCUUGUUCACUCAGUCAAGAGUAACACUACAGGGACGAUUACCCAUGACUUGGAUUUCACCCUUAUGAUCAUAUGAAGAAGUAAUCACGACAGUCAUGCAAGUAUAUUCACUCUUUUUGAAAUUUUUAGGUACGAGUUGAAACAAUCAAGUGCGGUUUAGUACUGCCGCCAAAUCCGUCUUGGGCAAAGAAAUUCUGAUUCAGCAAUUGUUACCACAAUCAGGAUCCAUCUUAAUUCUUCGGACUUCUUCUGAGCAAGAAUGACAAGUUCGAGCGUUGGUACUUAGCUUGGUUCAGGGAUAGAUAAUAGGCCAUUACGAAGAAUCAAAGUAUGGAUAUUCAAGCCUGGAAAUUCAAAGCUUUCCAUUUGUUUCGAUGCUUGAAAAGAAUUUGGAGCACGACAAUGAUUGUAAAAGGAGAGUAAAACAAAAUCACGAGAAAGUCAUUGAAAUCAAAGUUGGAACCAAUCUUGAUAUGAAAAAGGGAAGAAAAAAGCCGGUUUGUUUUUCUCUAUUGCUAUUUUUAGAUUUUUUUGGUCUUAUUUCUUGUUGUUUUCAAUAUUAUUUAGUUGUUUUAUAUUUACUAUCUUUUUUUUUAUUAAGCAAAAGAUAAAUUGUCCAUUGAUA
Molecule: long non-coding RNA, 626 nt
Organism: Coffea arabica (coffee)
Lineage: Eukaryota; Viridiplantae; Streptophyta; Magnoliopsida; Gentianales; Rubiaceae
Source: RefSeq, a predicted model, not a curated record